This 70-nucleotide transfer RNA is filed under the name Ictidomys tridecemlineatus (thirteen-lined ground squirrel). RNAcentral's name for it is "Spermophilus tridecemlineatus (thirteen-lined ground squirrel) tRNA". It matches the Rfam family "tRNA". Rfam says of the family: Transfer RNA (tRNA) molecules are approximately 80 nucleotides in length. The record is from Rfam by way of RNAcentral. Lineage: Eukaryota; Metazoa; Chordata; Mammalia; Rodentia; Sciuridae.
GGGGAUGUAGCUCAGUGGUAGAGUACUGGACUAGCAUGCUCAAGACCCUGGGUUCAACCCAGUACCCCCA